GGGGGUUAACCGAAGGGAAACUUUGCCUUAAUCCCCCAUACCACGUAUUGUUGCAUGACAUAGGUUUGAAAGUUCCGGCGAUACGGGUAAGGCUGGCGGACCAUUAGCUAGUUGGAGUGGUACCGGCACACCAAGGCGACGAUGUUUAGGGGUUCUGAGAGGAAGGUCCCCCACAUGGAAACUGAGACACGGUCCAAACUCCUACGGGAGGCAGCAGUGAGGAAUAUUGGUCAAUGGGCGAAAGCCUGAACCAGCCAUGCCGCGUGAAGGAAUAAGGCCCUAUGGGUCGUAAACUUCUUUUGUAUCGGAGCAAUAAGGGUCACGAGUGACCCGAUGAGAUUACGAUACGAAUAAGCAUCGGCUAACUCCGUGCCAGCAGCCGCGGUAAUACGGAGGAUGCAAGCGUUAUCCGGAUUUAUUGGGUUUAAAGGGUGCGUAGGCUGUUCUGCAAGUCAGCGGUGAAAGCCCGGGGCUCAACCCCGGAAAUGCCGUUGAUACUGCGGGGCUGGAAUACGGAUGCCGUGGGAGGAAUGAGUAGUGUAGCGGUGAAAUGCAUAGAUAUUACUCAGAACACCGAUUGCGAAGGCAUCUCACGAAUCCGUUAUUGACGCUGAGGCACGAAAGCGUGGGGAUCAAACAGGAUUAGAUACCCUGGUAGUCCACGCAGUAAACGAUGAUAACUAACCGUCGGCGAUACACAGUCGGGGCCAAGCGAAAGCGAUA
RNAcentral lists this ribosomal RNA (723 nucleotides) under uncultured bacterium. RNAcentral describes it as "bacterial SSU rRNA". It matches the Rfam family "Bacterial small subunit ribosomal RNA", at positions 138 to 862 of the family's 1533-position model. The record is from RNAcentral.